Molecule: ribosomal RNA, 727 nt
Filed under: uncultured bacterium
Lineage: Bacteria
Description: bacterial SSU rRNA
Rfam family: Bacterial small subunit ribosomal RNA
Source: RNAcentral
AGAGUUUGAUCCUGGCUCAGGACGAACGUUGGCGGUGCGCUUAAUGCAUGAGAGUUUGAUCCUGGCUCAGGAUGAACGCUAGCGGCAGGCCUAAUACAUGCAAGUCGAGGGUGAAGUUUGGUGCUUGCACUAAACGGAAACCGGCGAACGGGUGCGUAACACGUAUGCAAUCUACCUAUAACUAAGGGAUAGCCCAGAGAAAUUUGGAUUAAUACCUUAUAACACUAUUCAUUCGCAUGUUUGAAUAGUUAAAGCUCCGGCGGUUAUAGAUGAGCAUGCGGCCCAUUAGCUUGUUGGUGAGGUAACGGCUCACCAAGGCAACGAUGGGUAGGGGGUCUGAGAGGAUGAUCCCCCACACUGGUACUGGGACACGGACCAGACUCCUACGGGAGGCAGCAGUAGGGAAUAUUGGUCAAUGGACGAAAGUCUGAACCAGCCAUGCCGCGUGCAGGAUGAAUGCCCUCUGGGUUGUAAACUGCUUUUAUAUAGGAAGAAACCACCCUACGUGUAGGGUGCUGACGGUACUAUACGAAUAAGGACCGGCUAACUCCGUGCCAGCAGCCGCGGUAAUACGGAGGGUCCAAGCGUUGUCCGGAUUUAUUGGGUUUAAAGGGUACGCAGGCGGGAUAUUAAGUCAGUGGUGAAAGCCUACAGCUCAACUGUAGAACUGCCAUUGAAACUGAUAUUCUUGAGUAUGGAUGAGGUGGUUGGAAUAUAUCAUGUAGCG